UACGAAGGGGGCUAGCGUUGCUCGGAAUCACUGGGCGUAAAGCGCACGUAGGCGGAUUGUUAAGUCAGGGGUGAAAUCCUGGAGCUCAACUCCAGAACUGCCUUUGAUACUGACGGUCUUGAGUUCGGGAGAGGUGAGUGGAACUGCGGGUGUAGAGGUGAAAUUCGUAGAUAUUCGCAAGAACACCAGUGGCGAAGGCGGCUCACUGGCCCGAUACUGACGCUGAGGUGCGAAAGCGUGGGGAGCAAACAGG
Molecule: ribosomal RNA, 253 nt
Filed under: uncultured bacterium
Lineage: Bacteria
Description: partial 16S ribosomal RNA
Rfam family: Bacterial small subunit ribosomal RNA
Source: RNAcentral